GGGGGAACCCUGAUCCAGCGAUGCCGCGUGUGUGAAGAAGGCCUGCGGGUUGUAAAGCACUUUCAGUUGGGAAGAGAAUCUAAAGUUGAAGAGGCUUUAGAGGAGACGUUACUAACAGAAGAAGCACCGGCUAACUCUGUGCCAGCAGCCGCGGUAAGACAGAGGGUGCGAGCGUUAAUCGGAGUGACUGGGCGUAAAGGGCACGUAGGCGGCGAUGUUAGUCAGAUGUGAAAUUUCCGGGCUUAACCUGGGAUGUGCAUAUGAAACGGCAUUGCUAGAGUUUGGGAGAGGGAAGUGGAAUUUCCGGUGUAGCGGUGAAAUGCGUAGAUAUCGGAAGGAACACUCGUGGCGAAGGCGGCUUUCUGGCCCAAAACUGACGCUGAGGUGCGAGAGCGUGGGUAGCAAACAGGAUUAGAUACCCUGGUAGUCCACGCUGUAAACGAUGAGGACUGGGGGUUUGACCGGAAACGGAUGAGUCUCUAAGCAAACGCGCUAAGUUCUCCGCCUGGGGAGUA
RNAcentral lists this ribosomal RNA (515 nucleotides) under uncultured bacterium. RNAcentral's name for it is "bacterial SSU rRNA". It matches the Rfam family "Bacterial small subunit ribosomal RNA", at positions 374 to 882 of the family's 1533-position model. The record is from RNAcentral.